Molecule: ribosomal RNA, 253 nt
Filed under: uncultured bacterium
Lineage: Bacteria
Description: partial 16S ribosomal RNA
Rfam family: Bacterial small subunit ribosomal RNA
Source: RNAcentral
UACGAAGGGGGCUAGCGUUGCUCGGAAUGACUGGGCGUAAAGGGAGUGUAGGCGGCUUGUUAAGUCUUCUGUGAAAUCUACGGGCUCAGCCUGUAACGUGCAGAGGAAACUGGCGAGCUUGAGUGUCGGAGAGGAUAGGGGAAUACCCGGUGUAGAGGUGAAAUUCGUAGAGAUCGGGUGGAACACCAGUGGCGAAGGCGCCUAUCUGGCUGACAACUGACGCUGAGACUCGAAAGCAUGGGGAGCAAACAGG